This 274-nucleotide ribosomal RNA is filed under the name uncultured bacterium. RNAcentral's name for it is "partial 16S ribosomal RNA". It matches the Rfam family "Bacterial small subunit ribosomal RNA", at positions 28 to 301 of the family's 1533-position model. The record is from RNAcentral.
GACGAACGCUGGCGGCGUGCUUAACACAUGCAAGUCGAGCGAGGCCCACCUUUCGGGGUGGUGUUCUAGCGGCGAACGGGUGAGUAACACGUGGGCAACCUGCCCUCAGCUCUGGGAUAACUCCAAGAAAUUGGGGCUAAUACCGGAUAUGACCGCUGACCGCAUGGUCUGGUGGUGGAAAGAUUUAUCGGCUGGGGAUGGGCCCGCGGCCUAUCAGCUUGUUGGUGGGGAGUGGCCUACCAAGGCGACGACGGGGUAGCCGGCCUGAGAGGGU